UCACCGGGGCGACAGCAAUAUGAAGGUCAGGCUGAAGACCUUACCCGAUUAGCUGAGAGGUGGUGCAUGGCCGUCGUCAGUUCGUACUGUGAAGCAUCCUGUUAAGUCAGGCAACGAGCGAGACCCACGUCCACAGUUGCCAGCAUACCCUCCGGGGUGAUGGGUACACUGUGGAGACCGCCGCUGCUAAAGCGGAGGAAGGAGUGGGCAACGGUAGGUCAGUAUGCCCCGAAUCUCCCGGGCUACACGCGGGCUACAAUGGUUGGUACAAUGGGCAUCUACCCCGAAAGGGGAAGGAAAUCUCUUAAAGCCAAUCGUAGUUCGGAUUGAGGGCUGCAACUCGCCCUCAUGAAGCUGGAAUCCGUAGUAAUCGCGGAUCAGCCAAGCCGCGGUGAAUACGUUCCCGGGCCUU
RNAcentral lists this ribosomal RNA (412 nucleotides) under uncultured Methanosaeta sp. Its description in RNAcentral is "bacterial SSU rRNA". It matches the Rfam family "Archaeal small subunit ribosomal RNA", at positions 927 to 1338 of the family's 1478-position model. The record is from RNAcentral. Lineage: Archaea; Methanobacteriati; Methanobacteriota; Methanomicrobia; Methanotrichales; Methanotrichaceae.